AUGACGUCAANUCAUCAUGCCCUUAUGACCUGGCUACACACGUGCUACAAUGGUUGGUACAACGAGUUGCGAGUCGGUGACGGCAAGCUAAUCUCUUAAAGCCAAUCUCAGUUCGGAUUGUAGGCUGCAACUCGCCUACAUGAAGUCGGAAUCGCUAGUAAUCGCGGAUCAGCACGCCGCGGUGAAUACGUUCCCGGGCCUUGUACACACCGCCCGUCACACCACGAGAGUUUGUAACACCCGAAGUCGGUGAGGUAACCUUUUGGAGCCAGCCGCCUAAGGUGGGAUAGAUGAUUGGGGUGAAGUCGUAACAAGGUAG
RNAcentral lists this ribosomal RNA (319 nucleotides) under Streptococcus salivarius. Its description in RNAcentral is "bacterial SSU rRNA". It matches the Rfam family "Bacterial small subunit ribosomal RNA", at positions 1179 to 1499 of the family's 1533-position model. Lineage: Bacteria; Bacillati; Bacillota; Bacilli; Lactobacillales; Streptococcaceae. The record is from RNAcentral.